This is a long non-coding RNA of Lolium rigidum, 968 nucleotides long. RefSeq lists it as uncharacterized. Lineage: Eukaryota; Viridiplantae; Streptophyta; Magnoliopsida; Poales; Poaceae. The transcript has 2 exons. The record is from RefSeq and is a predicted model, not a curated record.
AAUUCUCUAAAGAAUGGCUCUCAAUCUGCAAUAUAUCUAUUUCCGUUAUAUUUAAAACCAUUGAAUCGUCGUUACUUUCAGAUUUGGUCAAUAUAUAUUUCAAGUAGUAUUAAUGACAUGUUCUGUUGCUCACAUCUUGCAGAUUAUGAACUCUUCCUUUUGGUUGAGGUUAUGCAAUUCUCUGAAGAAUGCCCCUCAAGCUGCAGGUAAAAGUAUAUUAUCUAUUUCGGUUACACUUGAAACCUUGAAUCGUUGUUACCUUCAGAUUUCGUCAGUAUAUAUUUCAAAUAGUAUUAAUCACAUGUUCCGUUGAUCAAUAUUUUUUGCUGUCUAGGAAAAAUUGUCAUGAGCAUUUGAGUAAUACUCUUGAGCUUCUGAUUAUUCUGUUUGUCGUCCUAUGUAGGCAUACCUUUUCAGAAAGGCUUAUGUCAGGGUAAGCUAUUCUAAAACAGAAGCAUACUUGUGUCACAACAAUGUAUGCGAAGUAUCAGUAAAGGUGUGCAAAAGUACACCGUUUGUCAUAGGGAGUCCUCCCGCAUUGGUCGGUCUGGUCAGUUGGGUUGCUAUCGGACGGCACCAUCGUUCCACCGAUCUGUUGUUGCCAUAGGGAUUCGAAGGCUGUCGCGUGGAACAGGUGUCGCGGCUGGGGCAAGAAGACAGCGGAAGGCAUCUAGUAAGUUGCCUACUCAGAGCGAUGAGCUCCAAGAAGUGAAGCAUCAGUUAGUUUACAGGCGGUUUUUGACAGGGAGACCGCUUUUGUUUUGAUACCGCUGUGCUCAACUCAUGUCUUCACUAUGUCUUCUGGGUGUAUUGUCAGGUCGGCUUGAACUAGUGUUUGCUGCAUUGCCAUGCCGGCUUGAACCAACGACUACUGCAUUGUCCGUGCCAAUGGCAUCGGCUUAUCACUGAGUCCAGUCAAACCCUACAUUUACCACUUCUAAUGAAUUAGUUCCUGGCCGUUCCAUCCA